Molecule: ribosomal RNA, 253 nt
Filed under: uncultured bacterium
Lineage: Bacteria
Description: partial 16S ribosomal RNA
Rfam family: Bacterial small subunit ribosomal RNA
Source: RNAcentral
UACGAAGGGGGCUAGCGUUGUUCGGAUUUACUGGGCGUAAAGCGCACGUAGGCGGAUCGUUAAGUCGGUUGUGAAAUCCUGGAGCUCAACUCCAGAACUGCCUUCGAUACUGGCGAUCUUGAGUCCGGAAGAGGUGAGUGGAACUCCUAGUGUAGAGGUGGAAUUCGUAGAUAUUAGGAAGAACACCAGUGGCGAAGGCGGCUCACUGGUCCGGUACUGACGCUGAGGUGCGAAAGCGUGGGGAGCAAACAGG